AGUGAACGCUGGCGGUAGGCCUAACACAUGCAAGUCGAACGGCAGCACAGUAAGAGCUUGCUCUUACGGGUGGCGAGUGGCGGACGGGUGAGGAAUACAUCGGAAUCUACUUUUUCGUGGGGGAUAACGUAGGGAAACUUACGCUAAUACCGCAUACGACCUACGGGUGAAAGCAGGGGAUCUUCGGACCUUGCGCGAUUGAAUGAGCCGAUGUCGGAUUAGCUAGUUGGCGGGGUAAAGGCCCACCAAGGCGACGAUCCGUAGCUGGUCUGAGAGGAUGAUCAGCCACACUGGAACUGAGACACGGUCCAGACUCCUACGGGAGGCAGCAGUGGGGAAUAUUGGACAGUGGGCGCAAGCCUGAUCCAGCCAUACCGCGUGGGUGAAGAAGGCCUUCGGGUUGUAAAGCCCUUUUGUUGGGAAAGAAGAGCAGCAGGUUAAUACCCCGCUGUUCUGACGGUACCCAAAGAAUAAGCACCGGCUAACUUCGUG
RNAcentral lists this ribosomal RNA (492 nucleotides) under uncultured bacterium. RNAcentral's name for it is "partial 16S ribosomal RNA". It matches the Rfam family "Bacterial small subunit ribosomal RNA", at positions 29 to 507 of the family's 1533-position model. The record is from RNAcentral.